Molecule: long non-coding RNA, 1290 nt
Filed under: Cairina moschata (Muscovy duck)
Lineage: Eukaryota; Metazoa; Chordata; Aves; Anseriformes; Anatidae
Description: domestica (muscovy Duck (domestic type)) lncRNA (ENSCMMG00000014413.1)
Source: RNAcentral
GGUACUUUUUUUUUUUUUUUUUUUCCCCUUUAUUAUUAUUAUUAUUGCUAGUUUUACAAGCUAGAUUUUUGGCAGGGAAGUCUUUGCUGACUUCCAAGUCUGGGCAACACUGAAAGAACCUAAAAAGGAUUUGUCCUUUUCUUAUCUUUUUGAAUACUAAUAACAACAACAAAGGCUUAAUGCUGAAUACCUGCUUCUAAACCAAUGCUAUCGACACUAUUGCUGUAGGAGAAAAAGGGUUGGGGAAGGAAGUCUCCUCUCUAAAGGAAGACAUCUGGGAAAGAAGUAUCAACAGUUUCAAAGAGAAUUUUUGGGACAAAUACAUGUGUUACCUAUACAAAUAACACAUUUUAAGAAGUCAAGCCCCAAGGAACUGUUAGGUGGAAAUAUAACCCAGAGAUUAACAUUUAUCAUGCUGAGAUUCGGGCAGCACAUCAUCAAGCCCUCCGUGGUCUUCCUGAAGACUGAGCUCUCCUUUGCUCUUGUGAACCGCAAGCCGGUGGUCCCAGGCCGUAUCCUUUUGAGCAGUGCCUUGGCCAUGGGUGCCUGUGUUCUGUGGAGACGCUGAGGAAGGUUGGCAUGCUCUGAAGGCCAGGUAGGAUGUUGCGCGGAUUUAUUCUGAAACCAGGCAGUGGAACGUAAUACGCUUGAUUGGUGUUGCAGAACUGCCGAAAAGGGUUGCUUAGCAACUGUGACCUUACAGGUGAAUUUCUAUUGACCUUUUCACCACAGAAAAUGUAUAAACAACAGGUGCUACUAAAAGCAUUUUAAAGUGUAUCUGAGAGGAUACUGUGUAAAUUUCAUAUUAUGCUAAAUAACACAUCCUGCUUCCCUUUUAAUAACGUCACUUAUUUUUAGAUGUGGUAACUUCUUUAUGGAGGAUUUUCAACUUCUUGUAGCUAAAUGUACACAAUUUGUCAAAUGGCAGCAGAAUUCUCUAUGAAGACUAUUAUUUUUUGGGGGGAACAGAUUGCUUUGAUUAAUUUAGGUAGGAAUGGAUUAAAUAAACCAUCUGUAUAGCAAACACUUUCUGAGGAAAAAUGAAUCCCCAUGUUGUAAGCAAAACUUAGUUUUUAGAAAUUUUAAGGAAACUUGAUUGUGCAAGAUGCUAAAUGCAUCUAUUUAGUUUAUUUUAUAAUGUUGUGUAUUAUUUCAUAGUUAGAACUCUGGCGCUAUGUAACUUGUACUGAUUUCAGUGGCUGGAGGUUGAACUUUUCAGAAAUAUUCAAGACUGAUCAUUUUCACAGAGGUUUAUGGUAAAAAUUUUAGUAGGCACUGUUAAGAAAUGGC